Molecule: ribosomal RNA, 490 nt
Filed under: uncultured bacterium
Lineage: Bacteria
Description: partial 16S ribosomal RNA
Rfam family: Bacterial small subunit ribosomal RNA
Source: RNAcentral
AUUGAACGCUGGCGGCAGGCCUAACACAUGCAAGUCGAACGGUAACAGGGAUCUGCUUGCUGAGUCGCUGACUAGUGGCGUACGGGUGGGUAAUGUCUGGGAAACUGCCUGAGGGAGGGGGAUAACUACUGGAAACGGUAGCUAAUACCGCAUAACGUCGCAAGACCAAAGUGGGGGACCUUCUGGCCUCUUGCCAUCUGAUGUGCCCAGAUGGGAUUGGCUAGUAGGUGGGGUAACGGCUAACCUAGGCGACGCUCCCUAGCUGGUCUGAGGGGAUGACCAGCCACACUGGAACUGAGACACGGUCCAGACUCCUACGGGAGGCAGAAGUGGGGAAUAUUGCACAAUGGGCGCAAGCCUGAUGCAGCCAUGCCGCGUGUAUGAAGAAGGCCUUCGGGUUGUAAAGUACUUUCAGCGGGGAGGAAGGGAGUAAAGUUAAUAUCUUUGCUCAUUGACGUUACCCGCAGAAGAAGCACCGGCUAACUCCGUG